Molecule: transfer RNA, 70 nt
Filed under: Marmota monax (woodchuck)
Lineage: Eukaryota; Metazoa; Chordata; Mammalia; Rodentia; Sciuridae
Description: tRNA.Ala
Rfam family: tRNA (bases 5-65)
About the family: Transfer RNA (tRNA) molecules are approximately 80 nucleotides in length.
Source: RNAcentral
GGGCUGGGGCUCAGUGGUAGAGCAUACACCUAGCAUGUGUGAGGAACUGGGUUCAAUUCUCAGCACCACA